CAGUUCGGAUCGGAGUCUGCAACCCGACUCCGUGAAGCUGGAUUCGCUAGUAAUCGCGCAUCAGCCAUGGCGCGGUGAAUACGUUCCCGGGCCUUGUACACACCGCCCGUCAAGCCAUGGGAGCCGGGGGUACCUGAAGUGCGUAACCGCAAGGAGCGCCCUAGGGUAAAACUGGUGACUGGGGCUAAGUCGUAACAAGGUAGC
This 204-nucleotide ribosomal RNA is filed under the name uncultured bacterium. RNAcentral describes it as "partial 16S ribosomal RNA". It matches the Rfam family "Bacterial small subunit ribosomal RNA", at positions 1289 to 1500 of the family's 1533-position model. The record is from RNAcentral.